AUGGGAGGUGUUUUUGGGAAGAACAAGGCACACUGUGUGUUCCCCAGGGUUGUUUAUAGGGCCAGGGGCAGGAAGGCUGCCCGGGCGUGCUGCGAUGCAGCCACCUGGACUGGGGAGAGCCACUUCCACUCAGCACGGAUUGGGAGGACUCGGAGGGGCUCUGAGCCUCCUGCUGCCCAGCUGGUGAUGGAAACUUCUGGAAGUGAGUUUGGAGAGGAGGAAGGAGACCCAGGCACUUCCCCAAGGGCACAGCACAGCGAGGCCUCAGUCCCUGUGGCUGCUGGAGACACACGAGGGGCUGAGCUGUCCCAGGAGCCUGAAGCCAAACCUCACCCAGAGCUGAUGGAACACCAGGGAUUCACUGGAGAGGCACAAAGAUCCCAAAAUCCUCAGGACAGCAGCGAGGCUGGAGCUGUCCUGCAUCCCCCUGGCAGCUCUUUGCACCCCGAGCUCCACCAUGGGGACCAGGGGGUGACACCUCCCCACCAGACCACGGUGGAGGUCGAUGUCCACGUGUCUGCAGGUGACCACGAGGAGCCUGGCUGGGGUCAGGCUGCAAGAUCUGAGCUGCUGAGCGCUGCAGGACAGGGGAAUGGGGCUGGCAGUGGUGCAGGGCAGGGGAAUGGGGCUGGCAGCACUGCAGAGGAUGCCUGUGUUGGGGAGGCUCUUUGGGAAGUGCCCAUGCAGACUGCAGGUGACACCACGGCUGCUCCGUGUCCCCUGGAGGAGCCAGAGCUGCCCCCGAAGGCUGCAGAGCCAGGAGAAGACAUCACAAGUGGGCAGAGAGCUGCACAAGAGCAGGGGGCAGAGGAAGCUAAAGCCCUGCCUGAUCUCCAGCUGGGACCAGGUGAGAUUCCUGAUCCUGAAGGUGUGACAGGAACUGCUGGUGAGCCAGAGCAAGCUGAAGAGAUGGCUGAGGCCUGUGGUGAUGGAAACACAUCAGAGGAGAUCCCAGCCUGGAUGCCAGAAACCCAGGAGGAGGAGGAGGAGACAAUCAAAGUUAACAGUGAGGGAAAAGCAGAGGAGCACUGA
This 1032-nucleotide long non-coding RNA is filed under the name Cyanistes caeruleus (blue tit). RNAcentral's name for it is "lncRNA (ENSCCEG00000007447.1)". The record is from RNAcentral. Lineage: Eukaryota; Metazoa; Chordata; Aves; Passeriformes; Paridae.